This 440-nucleotide ribosomal RNA is filed under the name uncultured bacterium. Its description in RNAcentral is "bacterial SSU rRNA". It matches the Rfam family "Bacterial small subunit ribosomal RNA", at positions 958 to 1398 of the family's 1533-position model. The record is from RNAcentral.
AACGCGAAGAACCUUACCUGGGCUCGAAAUGUUAUGGACCGGAGUGGAAACAUUCCUUCCCCGCAAGGGGCCGUAAUAUAGGUGCUGCAUGGCUGUCGUCAGCUCGUGUCGUGAGAUGUUGGGUUAAGUCCCGCAACGAGCGCAACCCUUAUCUUCAGUUGCUACCAUUUAGUUGAGCACUCUGACGAAACCGCCCCGGAUAACGGGGAGGAAGGUGGGGAUGACGUCAAGUCCUCAUGGCCUUUAUGUCCAGGGCUACACACGUGCUACAAUGGUCGGUACAAACCGUCGCAAAGCUGCAAAGUGGAGCUAAUCGGAAAAAGCCGGCCUCAGUUCGGAUUGGAGUCUGCAACUCGACUCCAUGAAGCUGGAAUCGCUAGUAAUCGCAGAUCAGAACGCUGCGGUGAAUACGUUCCCGGGCCUUGUACACACCGCGCAUA